AAACCAACUGGGAUUACCUUAGUAACGGCGAGUGAAGCGGUAAAAGCUCAAAUUUGAAAUCUGGUACUUUCAGUGCCCGAGUUGUAAUUUGUAGAAUUUGUCUUUGAUUAGGUCCUUGUCUAUGUUCCUUGGAACAGGACGUCAUAGAGGGUGAGAAUCCCGUUUGGCGAGGAUACCUUUUCUCUGUAAGACUUUUUCGAAGAGUCGAGUUGUUUGGGAAUGCAGCUCAAAGUGGGUGGUAAAUUCCAUCUAAAGCUAAAUAUUGGCGAGAGACCGAUAGCGAACAAGUACAGUGAUGGAAAGAUGAAAAGAACUUUGAAAAGAGAGUGAAAAAGUACGUGAAAUUGUUGAAAGGGAAGGGCAUUUGAUCAGACAUGGUGUUUUUAGCAUGCACUCGCCUCUCGUGGGCUUGGGCCUCUCAAAAAUUUCACUGGGCCAACAUCAAUUUUGGCGGCAGGAAAAAUCCUUUGGAAUGUAGCUACCUCGGUAGUGUUAUAGCCUUUUGAAAUCUGUCAGCUGGGA
Molecule: ribosomal RNA, 522 nt
Filed under: uncultured Hanseniaspora
Lineage: Eukaryota; Fungi; Ascomycota; Saccharomycetes; Saccharomycodales; Saccharomycodaceae
Description: eukaryotic LSU rRNA
Rfam family: Eukaryotic large subunit ribosomal RNA
Source: RNAcentral